Molecule: long non-coding RNA, 732 nt
Filed under: Homo sapiens (human)
Lineage: Eukaryota; Metazoa; Chordata; Mammalia; Primates; Hominidae
Description: novel transcript
Source: RNAcentral
GGAGUGCGCACCGAGCGGCAGUGACUUCGCCGCUGCUGUAGUUCCCCGGCUGGAUGCGGUGACUGGUGCCAGUGCUCAGGCGCCCGCUGCCCUUGACCUCCCGCCCCGCGAGCCCUAACUCAGCGCAGGAGGACCGGCUGCCGCCGCCGCCGCCGCCAGAUCCACACAACUUAAAGAUCUGCUGUCGAGUGAAUGGGGAAGUGGUCCAGAGCAGCAACACCAACCAGAUGGUAUUCAAGACAGAGGACCUGAUAGCCUGGGUGUCCCAGUUUGUUACCUUUUACCCAGGGGAUGUCAUCCUGACUGGGACCCCCCCACCUCCACCCAGGUGUCGGUGUAUUCAGGAAACCUCCUGUCUUUCUCAAGGUAGGUUAGUGAAAAGCAAAGAGAGCAAGGGCCCCAAAGGGCUGGCAGGCUUGGCUCAGACUUGAGAAGUACAGGCUUGUGUACGUGUGUCUGACGGAAGGGCUGACACUCUCAUGGCCUGCUCUGUUGCAGAAGGGGGAUGAAGUCCAGUGUGAGAUUGAAGAACUAGGUGUCAUCAUCAACAAGGUGGUGUGAUGGCUCCUGCACAGGCCCUGCACAUAGGAUGAGGGCAUCUGCUCCCACUCAGCCUAGCCCAGGGAAAGGCCCAGUGACAGGUGUGGACAGGUGCCAGCCCUGCAAGCCGCCUCUUCUCGGUAGAAGGGAGAAGGACAGAGCUCUCUUCAAUAAAUUCGUCGGGUCAAAGCA